GCUAAGUCCAGAGCAAAGUGAGGACGAUUUGCACAAACCAUCAUCACCUUCAUGGAUUCAGAUUCCCAUCAACAGUGAUUUACAGCAUGAAAAUUACAAUCACCGUCACCACCAACAUAAACAUCAUCACCUUCAUCAUAAUCAAGUCUAUAAACAUGAUAAAAAUGGAAAUGCAAAGCAUAGUAUAGAGCCGAAAUAUCAAUUGAGUGGAAGAUUGACUGAGACCAUGUCAUCAAUAAUCCUCGACCCAAGCAAACUUAACAAGCAAUCGCCAGGUUUAAAUGCUGAGCAACCACCCUUUUUAAUUAAUCAACAAUUAAUUACUUCCCUGGCAUCCUCUAUUGAUUCAACUUGUGAGGAGAAUUAUCAUGAUUCAGUUAAUAAAAAUUUGUCCCUCGGUGAAUUGAAA
This 409-nucleotide long non-coding RNA is filed under the name Lupinus mutabilis. Its description in RNAcentral is "partial ncRNA". The record is from RNAcentral. Lineage: Eukaryota; Viridiplantae; Streptophyta; Magnoliopsida; Fabales; Fabaceae.